CCUACGGGAGGCAGCAGUGAGGAAUAUUGGUCAAUGGGCGCUAGCCUGAUCCAGCCAAGCAGCGUGAAUGAUGACUGCCCUAUGGGUUGUACUUCUUUUAUAUGGGAAUAAAGUGCAGUAUGUAUACUGCUUUGCAUGUACCUUAUGAAUAAGGAUCGGCUAACUCCGUGCUAGGAGCCGCGGUAAGACGUAGGAUCCGAGCGUUAUCCGGAUUUAUUGGGUUUAAAGGGAGCGUAGACUGGUAGUUAAGUCAGUUGUGAAAGUUUGCGGCUCAACCGUAAAAUUGCAGUUGAUACUGGCAUCCUUGAGGACAGUAGAGGUAGGCGGAAGUCGUGGUGUAGCGGUGAAAUGCUUAGAUAUCACGAAGAACUCCGAUUGCGAAGGCAGCCUACUGGACUGUAACUGACGCUGAUGCUCGAAAGUGUGGGUAUCAAACAGGAUUAGAUACCCUAGUAGUC
Molecule: ribosomal RNA, 458 nt
Filed under: uncultured bacterium
Lineage: Bacteria
Description: partial 16S ribosomal RNA
Rfam family: Bacterial small subunit ribosomal RNA
Source: RNAcentral